Molecule: ribosomal RNA, 253 nt
Filed under: uncultured bacterium
Lineage: Bacteria
Description: partial 16S ribosomal RNA
Rfam family: Bacterial small subunit ribosomal RNA
Source: RNAcentral
UACAGAGGUCCCGAGCGUUGUUCGGAUUCAUUGGGCGUAAAGGGUGCGUAGGCGGCGGGGCAAGUCUGAUGUGAAAUCCCGGGGCUCAACCCCGGAACUGCAUUGGAUACUGCCUUGCUAGAGUACUGGAGAGGGAACUGGAAUUCCCGGUGUAGCGGUGAAAUGCGUAGAGAUCGGGAGGAACACCAGAGGCGAAGGCGGCGACCUGGACAAUUACUGACACUCAACUACGAAAGCGUGGGGAGCAAACAGG